This is a non-coding RNA of Acanthosepion pharaonis, 105 nucleotides long. The record is from the annotation of a GenBank genome assembly. Lineage: Eukaryota; Metazoa; Mollusca; Cephalopoda; Sepiida; Sepiidae.
UUACGACCAUAUCACGUUGAAACACUGGUUCUCGUACGAUCACCGAAUUAAGCAACGUCGAGCCUGGUCAGUACCUAGAUGGGUGACCGCUUGGGAAUACCAGGU